RNAcentral lists this ribosomal RNA (685 nucleotides) under uncultured delta proteobacterium. Its description in RNAcentral is "bacterial SSU rRNA". It matches the Rfam family "Bacterial small subunit ribosomal RNA", at positions 8 to 665 of the family's 1533-position model. Lineage: Bacteria; Deltaproteobacteria. The record is from RNAcentral.
AGAGUUUGAUCAUGGCUCAGAAUGAACGCUGGCGGCGUGCUUAACACAUGCAAGUCGCACGAGAACGUUUCAGCUUGCUGAAACUAGUAAAGUGGCGCACGGGUGAGUAACGCGUGGGUAAUCUACCUCCGAAUUGGGGAUAACAUUGCGAAAGCGAUGCUAAUACCGAAUGACAUCUCAAUAACUCCGGUCUUUGAGAUCAAAGGUGGCCUCUCCAUGGAAGCUACUGUUUGGAGAUGAGCCCGCGUACCAUUAGCUUGUUGGUAGGGUAAUGGCCUACCAAGGCGACGAUGGUUAGCUGGUCUGAGAGGAUGAUCAGCCACACUGGAACUGACACACGGUCCAGACUCCUACGGGAGGCAGCAGUGAGGAAUUUUGCGCAAUGGGGGAAACCCUGACGCAGCAACGCCGCGUGAGUGAUGAAGGCUUUCGGGUCGUAAAGCUCUGUCAAGUGGGAAGAAACCAUAUGGUGUUAAUAUCGCCAUAUGCUGACGGUACCAUUGAAGGAAGCACCGGCUAACUCCGUGCCAGCAGCCGCGGUAAUACGGGGGGUGCGAGCGUUAUUCGGAUUUACUGGGCGUAAAGAGCGCGUAGGCGGUCUUUUAAGUCAGGUGUGAAAGCCCGGGGCUCAACCCCGGAAGUGCACUUGAAACUAAGAGACUUGAGUAUGGGAGAGGGAAGUGGA